GCGGAGGAAAAGAAACCAACAGGGAUUGCCUCAGUAACGGCGAGUGAAGCGGCAACAGCUCAAAUUUGAAAUCUGGCUCUUUCAGGGUCCGAGUUGUAAUUUGUAGAAGAUGCUUCGGGUGUGGCUCCGGUCUAAGUUCCUUGGAACAGGACGUCAUAGAGGGUGAGAAUCCCGUAUGUGACUGGUUGCCUUCGCCCAUGUGAAGCUCUUUCGACGAGUCGAGUUGUUUGGGAAUGCAGCUCAAAAUGGGUGGUAAAUUUCAUCUAAAGCUAAAUAUUGGCCAGAGACCGAUAGCGCACAAGUAGAGUGAUCGAAAGAUGAAAAGCACUUUGGAAAGAGAGUUAAACAGUACGUGAAAUUGUUGAAAGGGAAGCGCUUGCAACCAGACUUGCACGCAGUUGAUCAUCCGGUGUUCUCACCGGUGCACUCUGCUGCGUUCAGGCCAGCAUCGGUUUUGGUGGUUGGAUAAAGGCCUUGGGAAUGUAGCUCCUCUCGGGGAGUGUUAUAGCCCUCGGUGCAAUGCAGCCUACUGGGACCGAGGACCGCGCUUCGGCUAGGAUGCUGGCGUAAUGGUUGUAAGCGACCCGUCUUGAAACACGGACCAAGGAGUCUAACAUCUAUGCGAGUGUUUGGGUGUCAAACCCAUACGCGUAAUGAAAGUGAACGGAGGUGAGAACCCUUAAGGGUGCAUCAUCGACCGAUCCUGAUGUCUUCGGAUGGAUUUGAGUAAGAGCAUAGCUGUUGGGACCCGAAAGAUGGUGAACUAUGCGUGAAUAGGGUGAAGCCAGAGGAAACUCUGGUGGAGGCUCGCAGCGGUUCUGACGUGCAAAUCGAUCGUCAAAUUUGCGCAUAGGGGCGAAAGACUAAUCGAACCAUCUAGUAGCUGGUUCCU
RNAcentral lists this non-coding RNA (892 nucleotides) under Vandijckella johannae. RNAcentral describes it as "sequence contains 28S rRNA gene". It matches the Rfam family "Eukaryotic large subunit ribosomal RNA", at positions 50 to 959 of the family's 3401-position model. Lineage: Eukaryota; Fungi; Ascomycota; Leotiomycetes; Helotiales; Vandijckellaceae. The record is from RNAcentral.